AAGAAGUUAAUUAUACCACUGUUGCAGUUGUGAGCUACAAAUACCCAGAGGAGAUGCCACUUACACUGGAAUUCAUACAGAUUUUUCUUGUAAAGACAUCCUGAACAAGGGUUGAGAUGAAAGCAACCAAGUGAUGGGCAGUUCAAGAUUGCUGUCGUUCGAGAAGUUAAUGAACGCAUCUCCUCUACUGUUUGCUUAUAUGACAGAGGCAAAUGGAGACCAUUGGAAAUAAUUUCCCUGUGAAGAAAUCCUGAACAAGGGUUGAGAUGAAGGCAACCAAGUGGCUGCGUGUUCCUCCAAGACUCUUGCAUGAACGAUUUCGAAAAUCCAUGUAAUAUUUGAUCUUUUUUAAAAAUCUCAAAAUGGCCCUUUUUUUUAAACAUGCAGAUUAGGGGGAAAUAAUACAUCCCUUAUAAUGACAGAAAGCACCAAGAUUUAAUUAAAAAUACUCAUUCAUUUGUGUUCUGAAGAUGAAUGAAAGUCUUAUGGGUUUGGAAUGGUAUGAGGGUGAGUACUUGAUGACAGAAAUUCACAUAUUUGAGUGAACUAUCCUUCUAAACAAUAUUGUUCUCUUAUAGGAAAAAAUGCAUAUUUGCACCGAGUAAUCCCACACUGACACAGGGAGAACAUCCAAACUUCACACAAAAAGGCCUCCCUUCUCUGCCAGGGCUCAAACCAGGGACCUUUUCGCUGGGAGACACUGUGCCACCCCCUCUAUAAAAUUGUCUCAUGAGGAGGUUCAGUCUCCUGAGUUUCUGUCUGCUAAAACAGGAGAUUCUGUGUCUAUCAGCUGCACUGAGACCAGCGAAGAGCUGGUAUCUGCUGAAACCUGGAGAAGCUCCCAUAAACUUCUGAUUUAUUAAGAAAACUGACUUCAUUCUGGAGUCCCAAAUCGGUUCAGUAUUUGAAAGGAAUUCAGCUGAAAUUAAUGUCCCAAGUGAUUCAGAUGGCAGGAUCCUAAAACCUUCAAAAAGCAGCAGCAAAGCUCCUUCAUCAUAACAGAUCAUAAAGCAAACAUGACUUCAAUAGCCAUCUUUAUUUGGACACUCACAACCUGCAUCUGCAGUUCAGUGGGGCAGAUUCUGACUCAAUCUGAAGAUCAAACAGUGAAGCCUAAUCAGACUGUCACUAUUCACUGCAAUCAUAAACCAGCUGUGAUUUGUUGGAAAAAGGAUACCUCUCUGUAUUGCAUGUCAUGGUACCAUCAGAUUCCUGGAGAAGCUCCUAAACUCCUGACCUAUUACACAUCAGAGCGAGCUUCAGGUGUUUCUUCUAGAUUCAGUGGCAGUGAAAGUGGAAACCACAUGGAUUUUACUCUGACCAUCAGUGGAGUCCAGCCUGAAGAUUCAGGAGUUUAUUUCUGUCAGAGUCAACAUAACAAGGGAGUCUCUGGCACGAAGGACUGGGUGUUCACACAGUGUAAAAUCAUCGUACAAAAACUUCCUUGUGUGAGACUGCAGCAUUGCAGCUUUGAGCUUCUGCAGAUGUUGAUGUUGAAGAUCAUUAUUCACCUCACUGACUUUACACACAAACACACGCAUAGAGACUCUAUGUAAUGCUGCUGAACGGUUUAUGUUCAUUAUUGUCACACACUUCUCGAACACAUUGUACAUAUUUUAUUAAUAACAAACAUCAGAAUGUCUCAAUCAGGCUUCCACAUAAAUCCAGUCCAAGGAUUGGAUUGGCCAUGUGAGUGAAAGCUCACCAUGGCCAAAGCAACUUCUCAAAUUCAUGCUGUAACUAACAAUCUGAAUAGCCCAGUUCAGUGUCAAAUAAGCCAUAAUCCAUAUUUUGUUACAUUCUGUAUUUGUCAACAACCACAACACGUUUUCCCUGCUAUAUUUAAAAUGAAAUAUAUAAGCUGUUCAUUUUCUUGAGACACUGAUGUUCACCUCUAUUCAUAUUAAUGAUAAAAGCAUGUAAACCAAUAAAAUCCAAAUAAGAUUAAAUACUACAGUAAAGGAAAGAAAUAAGAUUAAAUGAGGACAAAAAAAAAAUAAUUCACAUUACACAUAAAUUGUCUUCUUGUAGAUGCAUAUUUAAAUGCUUCUCCAUUAUUUGGAUAUUAUUAAUAAAAUAUUAGGGAAUGUGAUCAUAUGUUUCAUAUUGUGAAACAUGUUUCAUAACCCUAUUUUUUGGCAAAACAAAAUCUA
Long non-coding RNA from Labeo rohita (rohu), 2153 nucleotides. RefSeq lists it as uncharacterized. The transcript has 8 exons. Lineage: Eukaryota; Metazoa; Chordata; Actinopteri; Cypriniformes; Cyprinidae. The record is from RefSeq and is a predicted model, not a curated record.